This 661-nucleotide ribosomal RNA is filed under the name uncultured bacterium. RNAcentral's name for it is "bacterial SSU rRNA". It matches the Rfam family "Bacterial small subunit ribosomal RNA", at positions 94 to 737 of the family's 1533-position model. The record is from RNAcentral.
AGCGGCGGACGGGUGAGUAACACGUGGGCAACCUGCCCGCAAGACCGGGAUAACUCCGGGAAACCGGAGCUAAUACCGGAUAACACCGAAGACCGCAUGGUCUUCGGUUGAAAGGCGGCCUUUGGGCUGUCACUUGCGGAUGGGCCCGCGGCGCAUUAGCUAGUUGGUGAGGUAACGGCUCACCAAGGCGACGAUGCGUAGUCGGCCUGAGAGGGUGACCGGCCACACUGGGACUGAGACACGGCCCAGACUCCUACGGGAGGCAGCAGUAGGGAAUCUUCCGCAAUGGGCGAAAGCCUGACGGAGCGACGCCGCGUGAGCGAAGAAGGCCUUCGGGUCGUAAAGCUCUGUUGUGAGGGACGAAGGAGCGCCGUUCGAAGAGGGCGGCGCGGUGACGGUACCUCACGAGAAAGCCCCGGCUAACUACGUGCCANCAGCCGCGGUAAUACGUAGGGGGCGAGCGUUGUCCGAAAUUAUCGGGCGUAAAGCGCGCGCAGGCGGUCUCUUAAGUCUGAUGUGAAAGCCCACGGCUCAACCGUGGAGGGUCAUUGGAAACUGGGGGACUUGAGGGCAGGAGAGGAGAGCGGAAUUCCACGUGUANCGGUGANNUGCGUANAGAUGUGNANGAACACCAGUGGCGAAAGGCGGCUCUCUGGCCUGC